GAACGCACAUUGCGCCUCCUGGUAUUCUGGGGGGCAUGCCUGUUCGAGAGUCAUUUCACCACUCAAGCCUGGCUUGGUGUUGGGCGACGUCCCCUUUGGGGACGCGCCUCGAAACGCUCGGCGGCGUGGCACCGGCUUUAAGCGUAGCAGAAUCUUUCGCUUUGGAAGUCGGGGCCCCGUCUGCCGGAAGACCUACUCGCAAGGUUGACCUCGGAUCAGGCAGGGAUACCCGCUGAACUUAAG
This 243-nucleotide unclassified non-coding RNA is filed under the name uncultured Dothideomycetes. RNAcentral describes it as "sequence contains 5.8S rRNA gene". Lineage: Eukaryota; Fungi; Ascomycota; Dothideomycetes. The record is from RNAcentral.